GAUGAACGCUGGCGGCGUGCCUAAUACAUGCAAGUCGAGCGAACAGACGAGGAGCUUGCUCCUCUGACGUUAGCGGCGGACGGGUGAGUAACACGUGGAUAACCUACCUAUAAGACUGGGAUAACUUCGGGAAACCGGAGCUAAUACCGGAUAAUAUAUUGAACCGCAUGGUUCAAUAGUGAAAGACGGUUUUGCUGUCACUUAUAGAUGGAUCCGCGCCGCAUUAGCUAGUUGGUAAGGUAACGGCUUACCAAGGCGACGAUGCGUAGCCGACCUGAGAGGGUGAUCGGCCACACUGGAACUGAGACACGGUCCAGACUCCUACGGGAGGCAGCAGUAGGGAAUCUUCCGCAAUGGGCGAAAGCCUGACGGAGCAACGCCGCGCGAGUGAUGAAGGUCUUCGGAUCGUAAAACUCUGUUAUUAGGGAAGAACAAAUGUGUAAGUAACUAUGCACGUCUUGACGGUACCUAAUCAGAAAGCCACGGCUAACUACGU
This 496-nucleotide ribosomal RNA is filed under the name uncultured bacterium. RNAcentral's name for it is "partial 16S ribosomal RNA". It matches the Rfam family "Bacterial small subunit ribosomal RNA", at positions 28 to 506 of the family's 1533-position model. The record is from RNAcentral.